Molecule: transfer RNA, 95 nt
Filed under: Amycolatopsis sp. M39
Lineage: Bacteria; Bacillati; Actinomycetota; Actinomycetes; Pseudonocardiales; Pseudonocardiaceae
Description: tRNA-Gly
Source: RNAcentral
UGCUGGUGGUCGACGCGGCGAACGUGAUGGGCUCCCGCCCCGACGGCUGGUGGCGCGACCGCCACGGCGCCGCGGAACGCCUGCGCGACCAGCUG